UCAACAUCAUGGAGGUCGGGGAUUCCCAGCAAGGCAUGGAGGAGUUCAAAGUACAAAAUGUCACUGAUGCUCUCAAAGGAUUAGAAGCAGCUGUAGAUCAAGAUAACACAAUCACAGAAGACAGCAUGCAGCAAGAGAGCCGAAGAAAUAUUCAAUAGAAUACUGAAAGCAUUGGAAGGGAAACCUUGUGAAACAAUGGUGUCAAGUUUCUUUGCUAUUGAGAACAGCUUACCGUUCGCAAGGAGCAAUGCUUCUAACAUUAUGAACCAGAUUUUAAAGUUUGUAAAGAGGAUGGUUAGGAAACUACCUUUAAAAUGGCUGCUUGUUCAACAAGAAAUCCAGAAGUUGAAAGUGGAACAUAUCUAUUUACCAACCAAAGAGGAAACAAAGCACAGAAAGGCCUGGAGAAGAUUGGACUCAGGAGUCCUAGAGGAGCAUCUGUUAAGACACCUCUGGAAGGACUUCAAUUUUUUCAGAUGAGAUGUUUGACUUCUUUGUAUCUCUCAUGCAGAAAUUUGUACUUGUGUGUGAGAAAAACAUUACAAUGGGAGUUGAACGUAUUUUCUACGUUCUUUCGCGCUUGAAGCCUAAACGAAUAGAUGCCACCCAAACUAACAAUUACGGGAUUCGCGCAGUUUCAAUCUUUCAUGACUUUGGUCGCUAUCUACCUGACGAUCUUUUCCAGCGUGGAGUAACUAAGUUCAUUGAGAGAUUCCAAGUACUGUAAAAGACAAUGAGCGUACAUUAUCUUAUGAGCACGUGGAUUGGGUAUCGAUGAACUUCAUCACAUGGUUUUGAGUGUAGACUCAAUCAAGCAUCGUCAGGCCUAUGUUCGUUUUGCAAACAACAAUCAUCAGACGAAAAAUCUUCAAUGCCGCUCAGCUUACCCAGGAAGAUGAACCAUCGCCGACAGUAUGUGCGAAGGUGUUGAUAUUCCUUGAAACAGAACUAAAGAUAUU
RNAcentral lists this long non-coding RNA (959 nucleotides) under Anneissia japonica. RNAcentral describes it as "uncharacterized LOC117111775, transcript variant X1". The record is from RNAcentral. Lineage: Eukaryota; Metazoa; Echinodermata; Crinoidea; Comatulida; Comatulidae.